This 292-nucleotide ribosomal RNA is filed under the name uncultured bacterium. Its description in RNAcentral is "partial 16S ribosomal RNA". It matches the Rfam family "Bacterial small subunit ribosomal RNA", at positions 505 to 796 of the family's 1533-position model. The record is from RNAcentral.
GUGCCAGCAGCCGCGGUAAGACGAACCGUGCGAACGUUGUUCGGAAUCACUGGGCUUAAAGGGCGCGUAGGCGGGCGAUCAAGUCAGAGGUGAAAUCCCACGGCUUAACCGUGGAAGUGCCCCUGAUACUGGUUGUCUCGAGGGAGAUAGGGGCGUGCGGAACUUUUGGUGGAGCGGUGAAAUGCGUAGAUAUCAAAAGGAACACCGGUGGCGAAAGCGGCGCGCUGGAUCUCUACUGACGCUGAGGCGCGAAAGCCAGGGGAGCAAACGGGAUUAGAUACCCCCGUAGUCC